UGGGGAAUAUUGGACAAUGGGCGAAAGCUGAUCCAGCAACGCCGCGUGAGGRAUGACGGCCUUCGGGUUGUAAACCUCUUUCACCCACGACGAAGCGAAAGUDACGGUAGUGGGAGAAGAAGCACCGGCCAACUACGUG
Molecule: ribosomal RNA, 139 nt
Filed under: uncultured bacterium
Lineage: Bacteria
Description: partial 16S ribosomal RNA
Rfam family: Bacterial small subunit ribosomal RNA
Source: RNAcentral